RNAcentral lists this ribosomal RNA (240 nucleotides) under uncultured bacterium. Its description in RNAcentral is "partial 16S ribosomal RNA". It matches the Rfam family "Bacterial small subunit ribosomal RNA", at positions 524 to 763 of the family's 1533-position model. The record is from RNAcentral.
UACAGAGGUGGCAAGCGUUGUUCGGAAUUACUGGGCGUAAAGGGCGCGUAGGCGGUCUUGUAAGUCUUGUGUGAAAUCCCUCGGCUCAACUGAGGAACUGCACGGGAUACUGCGAGACUUGAGUUCGGGAGAGGGAAGCGGAAUUCCGGGUGUAGCGGUGAAAUGCGUUGAGAUCGGAAGGAACGCCCGUGGCGAAAGCGAGGUCCUGGACCCUUUCUGACGCUGAGACGCGAAAGCCAG